This is a long non-coding RNA of Vicia villosa (hairy vetch), 1405 nucleotides long. RefSeq lists it as uncharacterized. NCBI's taxonomy places the organism in Eukaryota, Viridiplantae, Streptophyta, Magnoliopsida, Fabales, Fabaceae. The record is from RefSeq and is a predicted model, not a curated record. The transcript has 4 exons.
AAUGCACAAGCGGCGCCGGAGCUACUCCGUACUCCACCGUGAAUCUUCCCGCACCACCAUGAACGGCGCUAAGUCCUUGCUUCAAGAUCCCUCCUCUCACUCAGCGGCGACUAUGACGACAAACUUCACCUUCUCCGAUCAAAACUCCGGCCAACGGCGCGACGGAGAAUCCUUCCUCUCCAAUCAAACAUACCGCACCGUCCGGUCACCAUCACUUCUCGACCUCUCUUCGGUUCUCAAUACCUUUCUCAUCUUCCCCGAUUGAGUCUUAUUCUGAGACCGUGUUGUUGAUGGUGCUAAGUGUAGAUGAAGAUUGAUGAUGAACUCGGACCAGUGAAGGUUGAAGGAGGUUAUGAAUUGAUUCACCGCGUGAGGAGCGUUGCAGAUUAGUGAUGAAGAUGAAGGCGAUGGGAUUGUGGAGCGUCUCGCGGAUUGUCGAAGCUUUGUAUUGAAUGGACGAAUUGCGAGUCGAAGGCGCGUUGCGAUAUUGCCUAUUGCAUAUGGUGAAUUGAUGAAGAUUAUAAAGAUUCGUUGUUGCCUUGGCUCUGAAGAAGAUGAUGAGUUGAAUUGAAGAUGAUGUUGUUCGGUGAAGGAGAUUGAUGAAGAUAUGUUGUGAUGCGCGUUGUACGAUGAUGAAGAUGAUCAAGUUUUGUUAGAUUCGUUAUAGAGAUGAAGAUGUAGGGAGAGGAUUUGUGAUUGAAGAUUGAUUGAAGGGAGAGAUUGCAGAGGUGAUGAAGACUGAAGGGAGAGGGAGAAUUGAAGAUGGUGGAACAAUGGUGAAGUGAAGGUUAUGAUCAACGAGAGAGAAAGCUCAGAGAUGAAGAAGCUAUGUCAUAUAGGUUGAUGGAAGAGAGGUCUGAAUGUAAAAUAAACGCGUGAACACCGAACCGUGAUAACUUGAAUGUUACGCAGCACUCAGAAUUUGGAUUGGACCGAAUGGCUCUGUCUUACUACUGUUGCAGGCUGCAGGUUGAAUUGUUGCAGAUAGUUUCACACCUUGGAUCGGUCUCCUCAUAUUGGAAGCUGCAAGUCAUUAGUUUCACACCUUGGAUCGGUCUCCUCAUAUUGGAAGCUGCAAGUCAUUAAUCUGUGGAAUUGAUGCGGCAAGUGCGCCCACUGAAAGUUUUGUUGAAGGGAUUUGGAAAUUGGAAAUCUUGAAGUAUAUAGAAAAAUGAAGAUGAACUGAGGCUCCUUUUUCUUUGUAAUUCUUUUGUAGUUAAAUCUUGGAAUUUUCUUUGAAAUGGACUUUGAAACGGUAUUUGAAUGAAUGUAAUAUGGAUUGUGUAAUAGGAAUAUGGAUUUUUUGUAAUGAAUUUGUAUUGCAAACGCAACAGACUUUUGGGACAUAUGUGCAUGUAUGGACAAUUGGUUUUAUGAUGAACGUUGAAGUUACUUGAAUGAUGAA